AUCUGGAGGACGAGUCCCAAAUAGGACGAAAUGCGCGUCUGUCUGGAU
Molecule: non-coding RNA, 48 nt
Filed under: Trichobilharzia regenti
Lineage: Eukaryota; Metazoa; Platyhelminthes; Trematoda; Strigeidida; Schistosomatidae
Source: RNAcentral